Long non-coding RNA from Triplophysa rosa, 1022 nucleotides. RefSeq lists it as uncharacterized. The transcript is spliced from 3 exons. NCBI's taxonomy places the organism in Eukaryota, Metazoa, Chordata, Actinopteri, Cypriniformes, Nemacheilidae. The record is from RefSeq and is a predicted model, not a curated record.
UAUAUUCGUAGUAUUUUGGUAAUUACAUGACCUAGUGGUAACGUAAAGUACACGUCCUAGGCAUGUAAUUUCAUUACCAAUAAAUUACCAAUUCAUAACGUCACAUUUAUCGUCUCCUAACAUUGCUGGAUAACCAAGAACGGUCCAGUUACGUAAUAUAUUGGUUAUAUUUUGAUAUCAACAUCACCUGCUGGUAACGUAACUGCCAGGUCGCAAGCACGUAAUUUCAUUACCAUUUAUAUUAGCCCAUGCUUAACAUUGACGAUUCACACGACACUUAUUAUGCUUGUUUAAAACGUUUUUAGUCUUAACAUUGUAAAUCUGCCAGAUUUACAACAGAUUUAACACGCUAUGCAGGCUGCUCUGUGUUGUAUGGGAAUAAUAACAGCCCGUGCCUCCCGCCUUGUCUCUAGUCCAGAGCAGCGCGCGCAGAGCUGAACUGCGCCUGACAGGACUGCUCGUUUCUUCGAAGUUCUAAUUUCACAACAGUAGAUUAAAGAGUUGUAUAAAUCGCAUUUUAAAUGAAAUAUUUACUCGUAGGCUGACAGAACGGCGUAACAGUGCUUUUUUGAGGUGCUUCUUUACUGACUGGAACAAAGUCCGCUGACAGGAAAUGUUGUUUUAUCAGGUAUUUAUACAGCGGAUUUAUUCAUCACCAAGAUAUGUUUCCACUGACAAAACAAUUCAUUCAGCACUGGUGGCUGUUAAGAGCAGAGUGACCAUGGCAACCGGAAUAUGAAGACCAACACUGUCACAUUACGUAACACUCAUUUCACUCAAGUGUUUUUGUUCAUAUUUAUCUGUAAAUUAUGUUGUAGCAUGCUUAAAUCAUAUGUUAUGUACAUUGUCUUUAUGCUGUUUUAUAACUAUAUAUAGCUAUUAUGUAUUUUAAUAGGUGUUAUACAAAUUACUGUUAAUUGAUAUAAACCUGUUCCACGUUUCUUGAAGCUUUUAUUCUUUUAUUAUUUUGACAGUUGUUGAAGCAAAAUAAUAAAAUGUUAUUGUGUACUGUUUUACAAUAA